GUGCGCGAGGUUUUAACUGUAGCGAGGUGCGCGCGAGACCUCAUUGUUGUGUUCGCGAGCGCAGGAGGUGGUGGUCUCACAGCAACCGCUGUUUGUUUAAUCGAUUAACUUUCGGCCAUAACCCGAAUCUUAAUAGUUUGGUGUAAAAUACAAUGAGUUACGGUAGACCUCCGCCUGACGUAGAAGGCAUGACUUCGUUAAAGGUAGAUAAUUUAACGUAUCGCACAUCGCCGGAGACACUGAGGCGCGUCUUUGAAAAGUACGGCCGAGUCGGGGACGUUUAUAUCCCUCGGGACCGAUACACGAAAGAAAGCAGAGGUUUCGCCUUCGUGCGCUUUCACGACAAGAGGGAUGCAGAAGAUGCGAUGGACGCCAUGGAUGGAGCGAUUUUGGAUGGACGAGAGCUCCGGGUUCAGAUGGCCCGCUACGGUAGGCCGCCCGACUCGUACUAUGGUGGACGUCGCGGCGGGGGACCCGCGAGGAGACACGGCGGACAUGGCCGCCGCAGCAGCCGAAGCCCAAGACGUCGCCGACGCAGCCGUUCCAGAAGCAGGAGCCGUUCUCGUUCCCGCAGCCGCUCCCGUUACAGCAGAUCACGGUCACGCUCCUAUUCCCGCUCCCGAUCUCAUUCCAAGUCGCACAGCCCCCGUAAGAGGAAGUCCAAGUCUCCCUCCAAGUCUAGGUCCCGUUCAAGAUCCAAAUCCAGGUCUCGUUCCAGAAGCCGCACCCCUGCGUCGAACAGAGAGUCCAAGUCCAGGUCAAGAUCUAAAAGCCAACCAAAAUCUGCUGGCGAGGAAGCGCCCACAUCAUCCUAAAUGCUCACAGUGCAUACAGACAGGGCCUUCCACACAAUGGAUGCAUCACAUCUGUGUGGCUCUCUAUGGAAACUGCUGAAUCCAGUAUGGAAAUGUAAAAGCAGGGGUGUGAGGUGAAGUUUUGGCUGUUAGAGGUGUGUGUGAUCCAGCCACCUGCUCCUGUUGGGGUUGCAUUGGAGCAGAUGGGUGUUUUGGUGGUGCUGAGGUACGUCUAUGAGACAAUGGACAGACAGCAUCCUACCCUAAAAGUGCAAGCAUAAACCAAUUGCCUUCUUUGACCUGGAAAUGUGAAAAACAAAAUAAUGCAUAGGUGAAGGUAACACAUCCAUAAAAUAAACUGUUAGAUUGUCAAGGGUGGGCAAUAUGACCAAAAUCCAUGUAUAACUGAAUGCAAUAAUUUAAUGGAUUAUAUACUUCAAUACAAUUAAAUGUUACAAAGAAAGUUACUGUAUCUCAGUUCAUUAAUAGAUUAAAAACUAAAACCACAUAAGCAGUAUUUUACUCCAUAAAUACCACACAUCUGUUCUGUGCACUAUAUAGCUUUGCACAAAUAUUUGAACACUAUAAGUGGCAUAGUUAAGUUUUACUAAGUGACAUUAGUACCGUCACAUGGCAUAUACCGUCAUAGCGCCCAGCCCCAGAUAUUUUAAUGAAAUCUCAGGAAAUAGGCCUAUCAGUUGCCUUAUUAAUGGGAUGCCAUUGGAAGAACAUUGGGCCUUAUUCAUGAAACAUACACAGAGCGAAUUUGUAAACCCCUAUCUGUUCAUAAUUUGUGUUAAAUUGGUCCAAUAACUACCAUUACAUCUACAAAUUUGUUCUGUUUGUCUUUAGAGAAUAAGGCCUACUAUGUGCACCUUGAUCCCCAUGUCAUCUUGAUCCCCAGAGAUUGUGUGGUCUCUGUAAAUCCAUUGUUUCCACUUUCUCUUAGCACGUUUUGCCUAUUUGACCACUGUUUUGUGUUCUCUCAGGUCGAUUUCAUCAUGGGACGUUUCUAAAUACAUGACCUCUGUUGGAGCCUGAGGAACCUCGGAUUGAGAAUCUCCAAAAUCUACGCAAAGCCUACUUGGGCCUAAAGGUCAUUAUGACUGAUUGGCAUAUAAACGAACUGUUUGAUUGUUUCACAGCCCUUUUGUUCUUUAAAUAAAUACAUUGUCCUUAUUUUCAGUGAGGAUGUUUUAAAUGUCUAUGUCCUUUUUUUUAAUUCGUUGAGUAGGACGAACGUCACAAUUCUAUUGGCCUUUAAGGUAAACCCAGUGUCUCGGUGAUGGUUCAGAAGGUGUUAGAUGCACCUCACUUGUGUAAUAUAUUUGCAAGACGCUGUUUAGUCUAUUCAGCUUGGCUUUUUUUGUUGUUUUGCUUUAAUCUCCAAAUGUUUAAGAAUGAUCCCUAUGCUUUAUCUUGAAGUGGCUCAAAAAUAUGAAGUUUUUCCUUUCUAAUCAACAUAUAUGAUGUUGAUGUGUGAUUGUAACACUUGUUGUAUUUUACUUUAUUUUAGUUUUUUGACAUUUGGAUUCUAA
Molecule: non-coding RNA, 2332 nt
Organism: Misgurnus anguillicaudatus (oriental weatherfish)
Lineage: Eukaryota; Metazoa; Chordata; Actinopteri; Cypriniformes; Cobitidae
Source: RefSeq, a predicted model, not a curated record